GGGAGGGAGGGGGAGGGGGAGGGGGGAAGGGAGGGGGAGGAGGGGGGAGGAGGGAGAGGGAGGGAAGAGGGAGAGGGAGGGAGGGGGAGGAAGGGGGGGAGGAGGGGGGGAGGAGGGAGAGGGAGGGAAGAGGGAGAGGGAGGGAGGGGGAGGGGGAGGGAAGGAGGGGGAGGAGGGAGAGGGAAGGAGAGAGGAGGGGAGGAGGGAAGGGGAGAGGGAGGGGGAGGGGGGAGGCUGGCGAGCGCUAGGUCCCAAGCGGGCGCAGAGGCGAGACCAGGCCGCGGCCACGCAGGCGGGGGUGAGGCCGCGGGCCCAGGGGGAGCCGUGGGCGGGAGGAGGCCGGCUCCCCAGUCCCGCCGCGCGCACCGCCCCCGCCGGGGUCGCCCCUCCCGUGACGGGUCGGCCCGAGGGCGGCGCGCCCAGGGCCCAGGAAACCCCGCCCGGGGACUGAGCCGCGUGCAGCUCGCUCGCUCGUUCAGUCUGAUGCAGCCAAGCCUCCUUUCGGCAAAGCAGGUGCCUCACUUCUCUGAGCCUCUUUUCUCGUCUGGAAAAUGUGCACGACAGCCCCUCCCGCCCGGGGUUGUUGCAAACGAACCGAGAGAGUGCGUGCAAACCGCUCAGCUGGCCCGCGGCGCCGCCGGCCGCAGCGCAGGGUGUGCGCGGCACCUUCUGCGUCCCGGUUUCUGCUCAACACAAAACGCUCCCGUUUCUCUCACGGAGAAAAUCCAGUUUGGAAACCCGGAGGGCAGAGGACACGUUGUGGCCGUUGCAGGCGAUCAUUGCAAAAAUAAACACAGGUGCAGCCUGGGGCCCUUGCGGGAGGCUGCAGGUGGCUGCGGGAGAGCCACAUUUUACUCCCAAAGGGGGGGAGUGGGGGGGUGGGGGGGAGGGUGGUGGUGGUGGAGGAUCUCUUUUCAGAACCAGUUUCAAGGUGAAGAGUCUGGUUCACCUGAAUAAAAGAAGCUGGACUGAACUCAUCAAUAUUCAUGGUCUGCUAGGGACGCUAUACCAACAUUUCACGGAGGGUGGCUGGGGGGACGGGGUGCUGGGGGAGGUGGGGGGGUGUGCCCUAAACAGCUGACAUUUACUUCUCACAGGUCUGGGGGCGGGGAAGUCCAGGAGCACCAUGCCAGGCCAAUUCCUGCUCUGGUGAGAGCUCCCUUCCAGGCUUGCCGCUGGCUGCCUUCUUGCUGCGUCCUCACAGGGCAGACAGAGCUCUGGUGUCUCCUCCUCUUAGAAGCACUUCAAUCCCACCUUGAGGACCCCACUCUCAUGACCUCAUCUAAACCUAAUUACCUCCCAAAGAGCCAGUCUCGGAAGACCAGCACACUGGGGAUUAAGGCUUUGUCAUAUGGAUUUGGGGUGGGGCAUGGCACGCGUCACUUGCAGCACUAUCUACACCGUAUUCCUACUUAUUCCUCUCUCCUAUGUUACCCACCUGUUCCUAUUAUUCCUAUUAUAUAUAUAUAUACCACCCAACCAUUAGUGGAUGACAAUAGGCAGCUAGACAAUAGUUCAUGAGUAAGUACAUAUAUCUAUAGCUACUUACAUAUAAAGAAACAUACGUAAAUAUAUAUAGAUAUUCAUUAUGGACUGUUGCCCAUUUGCCUAUUAUCUGUUAUUGUUGUUAUCCGCGGAUGGGUGGGUGGGCUACAUCUAUGUUGUCUAAUAGAACUUUCUGCAGGGAUAGAAAUAUUCCAAAUCUGUGCUCUUUAAUAUGGAAGUCAUUAGACAAAUGUGGCUGUUGAGACUUGACACGUGGCUAAUACAACUAAGGAAAUGAAUUGUAAAUUUUAUUGCGUUUUCAUUAUUAUAUUUCAGUUUAAAGAGCCACAUGGGUUACUGGCUACUGUAUUGGACAGUGCAGAGCUAGACCGAGGUGUAUAUACAGUUUCCUCUUUAUUCAAUUUUUUUUUUUAAUUUUUUUUAUUUAUUUUAUGAUAGUCACAGAGAGAGAGAGAGAGGGGCAGAGACAUAGGCAGAGGGAGAAGCAGGCUCCAUGCACCGGGAGCCCGAUGUGGGAUUCGAUCCCGGGUCUCCAGGAUCGCGCCCUGAGCCAAAGGCAGGCGCCAAACCGCUGCGCCACCCAGGGAUCCCUCCUCUUUAUUCAAUUGAUUGGUUGUGUUGAGUUUGGAAA
Molecule: long non-coding RNA, 2137 nt
Filed under: Canis lupus familiaris (dog)
Lineage: Eukaryota; Metazoa; Chordata; Mammalia; Carnivora; Canidae
Description: lncRNA (ENSCAFG00845025284.1)
Source: RNAcentral